AGGCGACGCUGCUAGUGCUGGCCAGGGAUGAUAGGAAUGGAGUGACGCAUGUAAGGUAAGUCUGUGAUAAGUUCCCAGUGUCAAACUAUUAGAUUUCAAGGUUCUGGCUCAAAACAUUAAUAUUCAUGCAUCAAAAUCAAUUUAGAUUUCUAUGUUAUGUUGUAGUAUGACUAUUCCUCAUAGCAAGGUAACAUUGAGCCAAAAGAAAUGGCUGCAUUACAGUUAGAGUGAUAGUUGUGUUGCGGCAUGGAUUUUAUCUCACCAUAUAUACUUAUAUCAUAGAAGAACUUGAUAAGAAGUGAAAUACAUGCUAUGAAAAGUAUAAAACCUCCAAUAAAUAGUACACAGAUUUACCUACGUCAUUAUUAGUCUACUGUACAAUAUAUCCUGAUGGAGGGGCAUGGAGAUGCCCAGUCUUUUGGGGCCAUAUAUAGUGGAGAUGCCCGGGCCCCUAUAUCCAUAUACAAGCACCUGUGAAGUGGCCCAGUCCCUAGUGUCCUUGUUCCUCCAUUACUAAGGAGUCCUGGAGACGCCAAGUCUUCUAGGCUUAUAAAGCUAAAGGGAUGUUUCCUGGACCCCUAGCCCACCUUUGUUUGUCUAGGAGUACCCUAAGCCCCUAACCUCUCCCCCAUAUUUUUUUAAAAACUGAAAAAAUAAUAUUCUAUUUCAAAUCUUGGUUUUUUUUUUGUCUUCCUUCUUUGUCACCAAGAAAGGCCAAACAAAAGUCCAUCAAGCAUUUAUUUCUGCAGAGAUCGAUUUCAGUUUCUAUAGUUACCUUCAAUAUGGAAAUAUAUCAAAUACUAUCAAAUCCACAACAGUUGGAGAGCGGUGUAAAGAGAGAUGCUCUAGUUAUCUGGAGAGCGAGGUGCAUAAUUUUGGAAUGUAGAAUUGUGCAUUCAGGUUCAAAUUAAUUGCGAUUCAUCCAAAUAAUGCCUUCAAUGGGAAUGUGAGCAUCAGAACUGAACCAUGGAGCAAUGAAAGGUUGUCUGGUCU
Molecule: non-coding RNA, 993 nt
Organism: Pelobates cultripes (western spadefoot toad)
Lineage: Eukaryota; Metazoa; Chordata; Amphibia; Anura; Pelobatidae
Source: the annotation of a GenBank genome assembly